This is a long non-coding RNA of Drosophila novamexicana, 806 nucleotides long. RefSeq lists it as uncharacterized. The transcript is spliced from 3 exons. NCBI's taxonomy places the organism in Eukaryota, Metazoa, Arthropoda, Insecta, Diptera, Drosophilidae. The record is from RefSeq and is a predicted model, not a curated record.
UAAAUCUGUGCAGUUGGCAGUUAAGGAAACCUAAAGUCGUAUAAUAUUGGAAUUGGAAUCAAAAUCAUAAUAGAACAACGGGGGUCAAGUGAAAGCUCGUGAAAGCUUUGUAGGGUGCUCUCAGGCCACGCGGAGACGGAGACGACAAUGCCCGACAUUAUGACAUCGGGAAGCGACAAGCGAAACGCAACCGGGUCCAUAAUUACAACAAUUUGUUGCCUAGUGUUUGGGCUACAGAAGCAGCAACAACAACAACAACAUGGUCUUUAUUGUCAUGCUUGAAUGAUGCAACUGGAAAAGACCAAAACGUAUAAUGUCGGGAGGGCGGCGAGAUUGUCACGCACGCACAUCCAAAAGCCAUUCACAUUCACAUCCAUUUGAAUGUGGCAAGGUGGGAAAACGUUGCCCCACUACAGAGCGAGAGGGGGAGGAGGGUGUGCGCCCAGUACAGUUGCCGCAACAGACAGACGACAGAGUCGACCGCAAGUAACUGAUGCAAGGCAAAAUGUUGAGCAAAAUGUUGUCCGAAGGGCAAGAGUCGAGCGUGCUUGACUACCAGAUGCCCUGUGAACCGUAAGUCAACGGAAAUACCAGGCAUCCGAAACUAUUCCCAACAGCCAGUUUAUGUCCAUUCAUCUCGAAGCCCCAAAUUUGACAUCUUUAGCUCAUAUAGAACCCGAGCUUCAUGAGGUUGGAACGGUAUAUGUACGGACUAGAAUAUGAAAAACGCAGCUAUAUACCAAAUUGUGCCAACUUUAGCUCUUGCAGAGCCCGAGUUCCAUGAGGUCAGAAACGAGAUAUGUAUG